GCCGCACUAGCGCGGUGGUCCCACCUGACCCCAUGCCGAACUCAGAAGUGAAACGCCGUAGCGCCGAUGGUAGUGUGGGGUCUCCCCAUGCGAGAGUAGGGAACUGCCAGGC
RNAcentral lists this ribosomal RNA (112 nucleotides) under Salmonella enterica subsp. enterica serovar Enteritidis. Lineage: Bacteria; Pseudomonadati; Pseudomonadota; Gammaproteobacteria; Enterobacterales; Enterobacteriaceae. The record is from RNAcentral.